GGAGUUAGCCGGUGCUUCUUCUGUGAGUGAUGUCCUUCCUGCCGGCUAUUAACCCGCAGGCCUUCUUCCUCACUGAAAGUGCUUUACAACCCGAAGGCCUUCUUCACACACGCGGCAUGGCUGGAUCAGGGUUGCCCCCAUUGUCCAAUAUUCCCCACUGCUGCCUCCCGUAGGAGUCUGGGCCGUGUCUCAGUCCCAGUGUGGCUGAUCAUCCUCUCAGACCAGCUACGGAUCGUCGCCUUGGUGAGCCGUUACCUCACCAACCAGCUAAUCCGACAUAGGCUCAUCCGAUAGCGCGAGUCCCGAAGGUCCCCCGCUUUCCCCCGUAGGGCGUAUGCGGUAUUAGCCUGGGUUUCCCCAGGUUAUCCCCCACUACCGGGCAGAUUCCUAUGCAUUACUCACCCGUCCGCCGCUCGCCACCAGGGAGCAAGCUCCCCGUGCUGCCGCUCGACUUGCAUGNGUUAGGCCUGCCGCCAGCGUUCAAUCUGAGCCAGAAUCGAAACCCUGA
RNAcentral lists this ribosomal RNA (508 nucleotides) under uncultured bacterium. Its description in RNAcentral is "partial 16S ribosomal RNA". The record is from RNAcentral.